UUUGGUUAAGUUAGAAAGGGCGCACGGUGGAUGCCUUGACACUAGGAGUCGAUGAAGGACGGGACUAACGCCGAUAUGCUUCGGGGAGCUGUAAGUAAGCUUUGAUCCGAAGAUUUCCGAAUGGGGAAACCCACCAUACGUAAUGGUAUGGUAUCCUUAUCUGAAUACAUAGGGUAAGGAAGACAGACCCAGGGAACUGAAACAUCUAAGUACCUGGAGGAAGAGAAAGCAAAUGCGAUUUCCUGAGUAGCGGCGAGCGAAACGGAACAUAGCCCAAACCAAGAGGCUUGCCUCUUGGGGUUGUAGGACAUUCUAUACGGAGUUACAAAGGAACGAGGUAGACGAAGCGACCUGGAAAGGUCCGUCGUAGAGGGUAACAACCCCGUAGUCGAAACUUCGUUCUCUCUUGAAUGUAUCCUGAGUACGGCGGAACACGUGAAAUUCCGUCGGAAUCUGGGAGGACCAUCUCCCAAGGCUAAAUACUCCCUAGUGAUCGAUAGUGAACCAGUACCGUGAGGGAAAGGUGAAAAGCACCCCGGAAGGGGAGUGAAAGAGAUCCUGAAACCGUGUGCCUACAAAUAGUCAGAGCCCGUUAACGGGUGAUGGCGUGCCUUUUGUAGAAUGAACCGGCGAGUUACGAUCCCGUGCGAGGUUAAGCUGAAGAGGCGGAGCCGCAGCGAAAGCGAGUCUGAAUAGGGCGUUUAGUACGUGGUCGUAGACCCGAAACCAGGUGAUCUACCCAUGUCCAGGGUGAAGUUCAGGUAACACUGAAUGGAGGCCCGAACCCACGCACGUUGAAAAGUGCGGGGAUGAGGUGUGGGUAGCGGAGAAAUUCCAAUCGAACCUGGAGAUAGCUGGUUCUCCCCGAAAUAGCUUUAGGGCUAGCCUUAAGUGUAAGAGUCUUGGAGGUAGAGCACUGAUUGGACUAGGGGUCCUCAUCGGAUUACCGAAUUCAGUCAAACUCCGAAUGCCAAUGACUUAUCCUUAGGAGUCAGACUGCGAGUGAUAAGAUCCGUAGUCAAAAGGGAAACAGCCCAGACCGCCAGCUAAGGUCCCAAAGUGUGUAUUAAGUGGAAAAGGAUGUGGAGUUGCUUAGACAACUAGGAUGUUGGCUUAGAAGCAGCCACCAUUUAAAGAGUGCGUAAUAGCUCACUAGUCGAGUGACUCUGCGCCGAAAAUGUACCGGGGCUAAAUACACCACCGAAGCUGCGGAUUGAUACCGAAUGGUAUCAGUGGUAGGGGAGCGUUCUAAGGACAGUGAAGUCAGACCGGAAGGACUGGUGGAGUGCUUAGAAGUGAGAAUGCCGGUAUGAGUAGCGAAAGACGGGUGAGAAUCCCGUCCACCGAAUGCCUAAGGUUUCCUGAGGAAGGCUCGUCCGCUCAGGGUUAGUCAGGACCUAAGCCGAGGCCGACAGGCGUAGGCGAUGGACAACAGGUUGAUAUUCCUGUACCACCUCUUUAUCGUUUGAGCAAUGGAGGGACGCAGAAGGAUAGAAGAAGCGUGCGAUUGGUUGUGCACGUCCAAGCAGUUAGGCUGAUAAGUAGGCAAAUCCGCUUAUCGUGAAGGCUGAGCUGUGAUGGGGAAGCUCCUUAUGGAGCGAAGUCUUUGAUUCCCCGCUGCCAAGAAAAGCUUCUAGCGAGAUAAAAGGUGCCUGUACCGCAAACCGACACAGGUAGGCGAGGAGAGAAUCCUAAGGUGUGCGAGAGAACUCUGGUUAAGGAACUCGGCAAAAUGACCCCGUAACUUCGGGAGAAGGGGUGCUUUCUUAACGGAAAGCCGCAGUGAAUAGGCCCAAGCGACUGUUUAGCAAAAACACAGCUCUCUGCGAAGCCGUAAGGCGAAGUAUAGGGGGUGACACCUGCCCGGUGCUGGAAGGUUAAGGAGAGGGGUUAGCGUAAGCGAAGCUCUGAACUGAAGCCCCAGUAAACGGCGGCCGUAACUAUAACGGUCCUAAGGUAGCGAAAUUCCUUGUCGGGUAAGUUCCGACCCGCACGAAAGGUGUAACGAUUUGGGCACUGUCUCAACCAGAGACUCGGUGAAAUUAUAGUACCUGUGAAGAUGCAGGUUACCCGCGACAGGACGGAAAGACCCCGUGGAGCUUUACUGUAGCCUGAUAUUGAAUUUUGGUACAGUUUGUACAGGAUAGGCGGGAGCCAUUGAAACCGGAGCGCUAGCUUCGGUGGAGGCGCUGGUGGGAUACCGCCCUGACUGUAUUGAAAUUCUAACCUACGGGUCUUAUCGACCCGGGAGACAGUGUCAGGUGGGCAGUUUGACUGGGGCGGUCGCCUCCUAAAGUGUAACGGAGGCGCCCAAAGGUUCCCUCAGAAUGGUUGGAAAUCAUUCGUAGAGUGCAAAGGCAUAAGGGAGCUUGACUGCGAGACCUACAAGUCGAGCAGGGACGAAAGUCGGGCUUAGUGAUCCGGUGGUUCCGCAUGGAAGGGCCAUCGCUCAACGGAUAAAAGCUACCCCGGGGAUAACAGGCUUAUCUCCCCCAAGAGUCCACAUCGACGGGGAGGUUUGGCACCUCGAUGUCGGCUCAUCGCAUCCUGGGGCUGUAGUCGGUCCCAAGGGUUGGGCUGUUCGCCCAUUAAAGCGGUACGCGAGCUGGGUUCAGAACGUCGUGAGACAGUUCGGUCCCUAUCCGUCGUGGGCGUAGGAAAUUUGAGAGGAGCUGUCCUUAGUACGAGAGGACCGGGAUGGACGCACCGCUGGUGUACCAGUUGUUCUGCCAAGGGCAUAGCUGGGUAGCUAUGUGCGGAAGGGAUAAGUGCUGAAAGCAUCUAAGCAUGAAGCCCCCCUCAAGAUGAGAUUUCCCAUAGCGUAAGCUAGUAAGAUCCCUGAAAGAUGAUCAGGUUGAUAGGUUCGAGGUGGAAGCAUGGUGACAUGUGGAGCUGACGAAUACUAAUAGAUCGAGGACUUAACCAUAUAA
This 2930-nucleotide ribosomal RNA is filed under the name Bacillus cereus. RNAcentral's name for it is "bacterial LSU rRNA". It matches the Rfam family "Bacterial large subunit ribosomal RNA". Lineage: Bacteria; Bacillati; Bacillota; Bacilli; Caryophanales; Bacillaceae. RNAcentral also lists the same sequence under 1 other name. The record is from RNAcentral.